GAUGAACGCUGGCGGCGUGCCUAAUACAUGCAAGUCGAGCGAACGGACGAGAAGCUUGCUUCUCUGAUGUUAGCGGCGGACGGGUGAGUAACACGUGGAUAACCUACCUAUAAGACUGGGAUAACUUCGGGAAACCGUAGCUAAUACCGGAUAAUAUUUUGAACCGCAUGGUUCAAAAGUGAAAGACGGUCUUGCUGUCACUUAUAGAUGGAUCCGCGCUGCAUUAGCUAGUUGGUAAGGUAACGGCUUACCAAGGCAACGAUGCAUAGACGACCUGAGAGGGUGAGCGGCCACACUGGAACUGAGACGCGGUCCAGACUCCUACGGGAGGCAGCAGUAGGGAAUCUUCCGCAAUGGGCGAAAGCCUGACGGAGCAACGCCGCGUGAGUGAUGAAGGUCUUCGGAUCGUAAAACUCUGUUAUUAGGGAAGAACAUAUGUGUAAGUAACUGUGCACAUCUUGACGGUACCUAAUCAGAAAGCCACGGCUAACUACGUG
Molecule: ribosomal RNA, 497 nt
Filed under: uncultured bacterium
Lineage: Bacteria
Description: partial 16S ribosomal RNA
Rfam family: Bacterial small subunit ribosomal RNA
Source: RNAcentral